This 119-nucleotide ribosomal RNA is filed under the name Pteropus alecto (black flying fox). Lineage: Eukaryota; Metazoa; Chordata; Mammalia; Chiroptera; Pteropodidae. The record is from RNAcentral.
CUCUAAGGCCAUGCCACCCUGAACAAGCCUGAUCCUGUCUGAUCUCGGAAGCUAAGCAGGGUCGGGCCUGGUUAGUACUUGGAUGGGAGACCGCCUGGGAAUACCAGGUGCUGUAGGAG